AUUGAACGCUGGCGGCAGGCCUAACACAUGCAAGUCGAGCGGAUGAAGGGAGCUUGCUCCUGGAUUCAGCGGCGGACGGGUGAGUAAUGCCUAGGAAUCUGCCUGGUAGUGGGGGAUAACGUUCGGAAACGGGCGCUAAUACCGCAUACGUCCUGCGGGAGAAAGUGGGGGAUGUUCGGACCUCACGCUAUCAGAUGAGCCUAGGUCGGAUUAGCUAGUUGGUGGGGUAAAGGCCUACCAAGGCGACGAUCCGUAACUGGUCUGAGAGGAUGAUCAGUCACACUGGAACUGAGACACGGUCCAGACUCCUACGGGAGGCAGCAGUGGGGAAUAUUGGACAAUGGGCGAAAGCCUGAUCCAGCCAUGCCGCGUGUGUGAAGAAGGUCUUCGGAUUGUAAAGCACUUUAAGUUGGGAGGAAGGGCAGUAAGUUAAUACCUUGCUGUGUUGACGUUACCAACAGAAUAAGCACCGGCUAACUUCGUG
Molecule: ribosomal RNA, 484 nt
Filed under: uncultured bacterium
Lineage: Bacteria
Description: partial 16S ribosomal RNA
Rfam family: Bacterial small subunit ribosomal RNA
Source: RNAcentral